UACGUAGGGGGCAAGCGUUGUCCGGAAUCAUUGGGCGUAAAGCGCGUGUAGGCGGCUUGAUAAGUCUGCUCUGAAAGCCCGGGGCUCAACCCUGGGAGGCGGGUGGAUACUGUCGAGCUCGAGUCCGGAAGAGGCGAGUGGAAUUCCUGGUGUAGCGGUGAAAUGCGCAGAUAUCAGGAGGAACAUCAAUGGCGAAAACAGGUAGCUGGGGCUGUGCUGACACUGAGACACGAAAGCCAGGGGAGCAAACGGG
RNAcentral lists this ribosomal RNA (253 nucleotides) under uncultured bacterium. Its description in RNAcentral is "partial 16S ribosomal RNA". It matches the Rfam family "Bacterial small subunit ribosomal RNA", at positions 524 to 776 of the family's 1533-position model. The record is from RNAcentral.